RNAcentral lists this ribosomal RNA (441 nucleotides) under uncultured bacterium. RNAcentral's name for it is "partial 16S ribosomal RNA". It matches the Rfam family "Bacterial small subunit ribosomal RNA", at positions 338 to 795 of the family's 1533-position model. The record is from RNAcentral.
CCUACGGGAGGCAGCAGUGGGGGAUAUUGCACAAUGGGGGGAACCCUGAUGCAGCGACGCCGCGUGGGUGAAGGAGUGCUUCGGCAUGUAAAGCCCUAUUGGCAGGGAAGAAGCAAGACGGUACCUGACUAAGAAGCCCCGGCUAACUACGUGCCAGCAGCCGCGGUAAUGCGUAGGGGGCGAGCGUUAUCCGGAUUCACUGGGGGUAAAGGGAGUGUAGAGGGCCAUGCAGGCCAGGGGGGAAAGCCCGGGGCCCAACCCCGGGACUGCCCUUGGAACUGUGCGGCUAGAGUGCGAGAGGAGCAUGCGGAAUGCCUGGUGUAGCGGUGAAAUGCGUAGAUAUCAGGAAGAACACCGACGGCGAAGGCAGCCUGCUGGACCGCGACUGACGUUGAGGCUCGAAAGCGUGGGGAGCGAACAGGAUUAGAUACCCGAGUAGUC